ACUGGAAUGAAUGGCUAAAUGAGGGUUAAACUGUCUCUUGCGAGCUGGUCAAUGAACUUGAUUUUCCAGUAAAAAAGCUGGAAUAAACACAUAAGACGAGAAGACCCUGUGGAGCUUCGAAACCAAGUUCAUCAAACUAAUGCUUCCUUGGGUUUUCAGUUGGGGCGACUUUGGAGUACAAAAAAACCUCCAAACCAUGUUAAACCCACUAUAUUAAGAACAACAAACCAAAAAUUACAUACGACCCAGCAAUCAGCCCUCACUGUUGUCUGAUCAAUGAACCAAGUUACCCCAGGGAUAACAGCGCCAUCCCCUUCUAGAGUCCCUAUCGACAAGGGGGUUUACGACCUCGAUGUUGGAUCAGGACAUCCCAAUGGUGCAGCCGCCAUUAAGG
This 394-nucleotide ribosomal RNA is filed under the name Darevskia saxicola. RNAcentral's name for it is "partial 16S ribosomal RNA". It matches the Rfam family "Archaeal large subunit ribosomal RNA", at positions 2063 to 2639 of the family's 2987-position model. Lineage: Eukaryota; Metazoa; Chordata; Lepidosauria; Squamata; Lacertidae. The record is from RNAcentral.